ACCUGACCUGCCGUGGUUACCCGAGCCACCUGACCUGCCGUGGUUGCCCGAGCCACCUGACCUGCUGUGGCCGCCCGAGCCACAUGACCCGCCGUGGCCACCCGUGGCUCUUGAUCCUCCGUGGCUGCCCAUGGCUCCUGACCCUCCGUGGCUGCCCGAGUGCAUGGACCUGCAUUGGGGACCCUGUUCUUGUCUGCAUGCAGGUCCCCAAUGCACCCACCCCCCCUCCCUAGCUGUUCCUUUCACGCCGCGAGGACGCGCCUUCCGGGAGGGGGGCGUUAUGUAACGAUCACCAUCUGUUCCUGUCACGUUCAUGCUCACUCCGGACUCCAUUUCCCAUAAUCCUCCCUUGCCUAUCACAUGCACUCACUCCACCAAUCACCUGCUGCCACAUACAGCCUAGCACUCCACACUGAUCACCACACCCAGCUGCACAUCAUUACCAGGACUAUAAAGGACUUUCACACACACCACCUCACCGCGAAGUCUUGUUUAACUGUUGUUACAAUUCUGAGCGUUUUCCUGUAUUCCCUGUCUGCCUGUUCCCUGUUGCCGUUACUGCCUGUUCCCUGUUUUUGACCCGUUGCUGCCUGUCCUGAUCAUUGCCUGUCCCUUGACUACGACUCUGCCUGUUCCUCACUGUUCCUGUUUGCUCCUGUUUUGACCCUGCCUGUACGACCACUCUUGUUACUAAAUAAACGCUGCACUUGGAUCCCCUGCUUGAGUCUCCAUUCACAACAAUUGUCACCGCAGCACAGUUGACACCAAUCAGAGGUAAGACUGAGGCUUCACAUCAGUGUGCUUAUUAUGGAAAUGAAAUAACUAUAUAAAAAAGUGCAUUUUAUUUUUAGAAGAAAUCUUUGAUUCAAGCAAACAGAGCAGACUACAAUGGACAUCUUCAUCACCAAAAGCUUGGAAGGAAACACAAAUGCAGCUUGGAAAGGACUAUGCACACUCUAUCUACAAAGCUUGUAACCCCAAAUUCAAUAACAUUACCAAAACAUUAUGGACCAACUGGAUCCCCAAACAAGAUGCCCAGGAGCUUCUACUGGACCUUAGUUUUGCCCAAGAGGACCAGAAGCCUCUUUAUAUCUAUGUGCAAGAAUCUAACCAAACUCAGAAUCCGUACUUUAGAAGACCAAAAAGACCUGUUCUCUGCAGAACAGUUGAGCAUCCAUUUCCUGUCAAUGCUGUUCCUCAGGAUGAGAACCUGAGCCAUGCUAAGGGCCUUUAUUUGGGAAACAUCACUGAGAAUGGCUUUUACCUGGGAUUUUCUUACAGCGGUAAGUGUACUUUCAUUGCAUCGAUCCAGUUGUUCUUCAUGAAAUGUCCAACAUUUGCAUGGAACCAAAUGGAAUUUGAAGAAACGGCAGCAGGAAGGUCAAGGAGAGUAGUGUGUUUGAACGGUUCUGUGGAGAUGGAGUGUCAAUCAAAUGGGACGUGGGGUCCACCGCAGGGGUCAUGUGAUGCAGGAUACCAGACAGAUGGAAACAGUUGCACAGGUGAAACAAUGAUUAGUGAAGCAUCUUGUGUAAACACAAGCACAAAUUGUGUUUAGAAUUCUUCUAUAGCUCAACAUAAAUGAAGUUGUCAUGAAACAGUUAUAUCAGAGUCAAGUGGCUUGUCAAGCAAGAAAAAAUUGUAUGAAUUUUUUUUUUGGUGAUGUUGCUUUUCAGUGAAAAAAGAAGUAUGCAUGUAAAGGUUAUAGUAAAUGAUGACAAUCUUUUUGGAUGAACUAUGCUUUUUUAAGUAAAAAUGAAAUAAAAUUUUUAUGUAAUAUUGCAGUAUUCAGUAUAUCUGUAGUACACAAAAUUAUUUUUUUUAAUCAAUGUGCCCUCAUAUAUCUCUUCUCUUUUUGAUGACGUGUUUACAAGCACAGGGGCAGAGCAACCUGUCACUCACAUGAGAUCGACCAAUAGCAACCCCCAACAAUCCAAUUAAUUUCCCGUGGAAAAAAAUCGAAUACUUUUUCUUGUUCAAGAAGCCGUUUCACUCUGAUGUACAUCACAGUAUAGGGAAGAAAAGCAACUUCUGUUUCAUGGCACGACAUUAAGCCCAGUUCUCUCUAAACUGUUCCUAUAAGGAACUUAUAUUCAAAAUAUGACUUCUUACUAAAAUGACAACUGAUCUUGAAGAAUUAAAUUUACAACAGCAAAAGUACUGUAAAUGCAACCACUCUGUAUUAUUAAUUUAUAAGGCAACAUACUAUAUUUAUGUGUGUGUUACAGGAAGAGAUCCAUUCACUACAAUGGCCACUCCUGGCCUAAAAGGCAAUUCCAGUCCUGUUCCAAAAACUGAUUCCAGUCCUGAUUUCUUUCCUGUCACAAUAGCUAAUUCCACACACAGACUGUCUCCUGUCCUAACUAUUGUACUGUGUGGCCUUCUGGUUCUUCUCAUUCUCAUCGCUGCUCUAUUUAUCUUUGUAAGGCGUUACAAGCUCAGUGGGGGUCAAGAAACUGAGCUCAUAUCCAGCUCUGGUGCGACUCGAUAUCGACGUCCUAAACAACACAGCUGAGUCCGAGCUAGUCAAUACUUAUAAGGUGGGCAGCAAUAAUGAAGCAAAUCAGAGUGGAGAAUAUAGGCCUUGUCCUCCUAGAAGUACAACACAUGGAAAGGGAGCAUCUCAGCAUGAUUGUGGAUAUGAACAGCUGCAUACUGUCCCACUUCAGCAGAAAAGCACAAUAUCAGUUCAGAUGUUGGAAGGGAUGAGUGAUAUGCUGUGUGGCCUUAAAGACGUGCUGGUCGAACGUACAACGUUGAAAAUGUGCCGAAUGCUUGGGAAAGGAGAGUUUGGGGCUGUUUAUGAAGGCAUAUUUUCCCCACAAAGAGGACAAGAUAUCAGAGUGGCUGUGAAAACCUCAAAAGAAGCAAUCCACAAUAAAGAAGAUCUGGAGUCCUUCCUCAAGGAGGCAGAAAUCAUGAAGCAUUUCAAUCAUCCGAAUGUAGUUAAAUUGCUUGGUAUGUCUUUCUUGAAUGAAAUUAUUUAAUGUUUGAUAUCUAGGCUAAAAUGUAUAAUUUAUAUCUAGCUGGAGCCUGGAGGGGAACAUUUUGGAUAACCUGAUUUCAAAUGGCACAGAUGUUUCCAUGGCAACUGGUCAUCUGUGGCUUGUAGGACUGUCCAAGUGCAAAGUGUGAACUUGCACAAGUUCCCCUGGUGAUGCCUGUAGCUGCACAGUAUACAGUGUGAUUUGGUUGACUUUUACCUCCUGCUUGUCUUUGACCUGACGUUUAAUAGGCGGAUUGUACCAUUGUAAGAAAUAAAUGGAUCAUGGCAACUCUGUGUAAUAAUGUAAUUGGCAUCUUUCCAAUACUGUGAUAAUCAGCAGACAGUCAAGGUCAUGCAGUAUGCAGUGAUCACUUUAAAGGAGCAGUUUCACUGCUUUCAUUUGACUGAAUUAAUAAUAUUAGCAAUUUUUAUUUUAUUUAUUUAUUUUGGGUGAGCUAGAUUUACUGUACAUAUAUCCACCUUAUUUUUCAUGUAAGAGUGGGUGCGGCCUUUUGUAAAUAGAAUGUGUCUGGCUUCCGGUGCUAUUCGCUUGCAGUUAUGUUUAGCUCUACUGAACAUGCUACUCGAUAUUAAUAUGUAUUGUGGUAAUUAUAAGCACACUGGCUUGUAACACAAAUUGUUUUACUGUUUACAUUAGACAUAUUAUAUCUAUAGAGAGAGUGGGGGGUGAGAAAGAGAUGCCUCAUUACUGUCUGUUUCUAUGGGCCGCCAUCUUGGACGGUCAGUGUGUCAUCAGAGUAAGAAUCAAUGAUGCCACAAGUUACAUUGUGCAGCAGCUUCUGGUUGUAAAAACCACAGAUAUUUAAAUUCCCGAAGAUUACCUUUCACAGGUGAGAAUGUGUUGUUUGUGUUUUUAUAUUUAUGUACUCAAUAUUACAGGGUUUUAAACUAUGGUCAUGUUAGCUGUAGGGCUGUCAAAAAAUAACGCAGAUUAAUCCAUUCCGUAUUGACCUUUGAACCUGGAGCCGUUCUAGCCACCAUUCGACUGUAAAAUGAACAGAAAAUGAAGGAGGGAGACGACUGCUGCACUGACGGACAGAACGAGCACUCGAGCAGAGCUGCUCCCUCGUGCGCGCGAGCUCUCUUCUUCUUCAAAGUAAGCACCGUCUUUGCACUCUCUCUACCUCGAACAUAAUAAUCUAAAUCAACUGACACAAUGCUAAAAGUU
Molecule: RNA transcript, 4175 nt
Organism: Megalobrama amblycephala (Wuchang bream)
Lineage: Eukaryota; Metazoa; Chordata; Actinopteri; Cypriniformes; Xenocyprididae
Gene name: ephrin type-A receptor 3-like
Exons: 7
Source: RefSeq, a predicted model, not a curated record